RNAcentral lists this ribosomal RNA (484 nucleotides) under uncultured bacterium. RNAcentral's name for it is "partial 16S ribosomal RNA". It matches the Rfam family "Bacterial small subunit ribosomal RNA", at positions 28 to 507 of the family's 1533-position model. The record is from RNAcentral.
AGUGAACGCUGGCGGCAGGCCUAACACAUGCAAGUCGAGCGGCAGCGCGGGGGCAACCCUGGCGGCGAGCGGCGGACGGGUGAGGAAUUCGUCGGAAUCUGCCUUUUUGUGGGGGAUAACGUAGGGAAACUUACGCUAUUACGGCCUACUUCCACCGGCGGAAGCUGGGGGCCGGAAGGCCUCUCGCCGAAAGUAGGGCCGGACGCCCGAUUAGCUAGUUGGUGGGUUAAGGGCCCACCAAGCCGAGAUUCGGUAGCUGGUCGGAGGGGAUGUUCGGCCGCACUGGGACUGAGACACGGCCCAGACGCCUACGGGAGGCAGCAGUGGGGAAUAUUGGACAAUGGGCGCAAGCCUGAUCCAGCCAUGCCGCGUGUGUGAAGAAGGCCUUCGGGUUGUAAAGCACUUUUGUCCGGAAAGAAAUCCCUGGAGCUAAUACCUUCGGGGGAUGACGGUACCGGAAGAAGAAGCACCGGCUAACUUCGUG